ACGGGAGGCAGCAGUGGGGAAUAUUGCACAAUGGGGGAAACCCUGAUGCAGCAACGCCGCGUGAGUGAUGAAGUAUUUCGGUAUGUAAAGCUCUAUCAGCAGGGAAGAAAUUGACGGUACCUGACUAAGAAGCCCCGGCUAACUACGUGCCAGCAGCCGCGGUAAUACGUAGGGGGCAAGCGUUAUCCGGAUUUACUGGGUGUAAAGGGAGCGUAGACGGCAAGGCAAGUCAGAAGUGAAAGCACAGGGCUCAACCCUGUAACUGCUUUUGAAACUGUUUAGCUAGAGUGUCGGAGAGGUAAGUGGAAUUCCUAGUGUAGCGGUGAAAUGCGUAGAUAUUAGGAGGAACACCAGAGGCGAAGGCGGCUUACUGGACGAUUACUGACGUUGAGGCUCGAAAGCGUGGGGAGCAAACAGGAUUAGAUACCCUGGUA
This 434-nucleotide ribosomal RNA is filed under the name uncultured Lachnospiraceae bacterium. RNAcentral's name for it is "partial 16S ribosomal RNA". It matches the Rfam family "Bacterial small subunit ribosomal RNA", at positions 341 to 792 of the family's 1533-position model. The record is from RNAcentral. Lineage: Bacteria; Bacillati; Bacillota; Clostridia; Lachnospirales; Lachnospiraceae.